GGCCCCAUCGUCUAGCGGUCAGGAUGGUACCCUCUCACGGUAUAGACACGGGUUCGAGUCCCGUUGGGGUCACCA
RNAcentral lists this transfer RNA (75 nucleotides) under Deinococcus rubellus. RNAcentral describes it as "tRNA-Glu". It matches the Rfam family "tRNA". From Rfam's summary of the family: Transfer RNA (tRNA) molecules are approximately 80 nucleotides in length. Their secondary structure includes four short double-helical elements and three loops (D, anti-codon, and T loops). Further hydrogen bonds mediate the characteristic L-shaped molecular structure. tRNAs have two regions of fundamental functional importance: the anti-codon, which is responsible for specific mRNA codon recognition, and the 3' end, to which the tRNAs corresponding amino acid is attached (by aminoacyl-tRNA synthetases). tRNAs cope with the degeneracy of the genetic code in two manners: having more than one tRNA (with a specific anti-codon) for a particular amino acid; and 'wobble' base-pairing, i.e. permitting non-standard base-pairing at the 3rd anti-codon position. Lineage: Bacteria; Thermotogati; Deinococcota; Deinococci; Deinococcales; Deinococcaceae. The record is from RNAcentral. RNAcentral also lists the same sequence under 3 other names.